Molecule: non-coding RNA, 271 nt
Organism: Pelobates cultripes (western spadefoot toad)
Lineage: Eukaryota; Metazoa; Chordata; Amphibia; Anura; Pelobatidae
Source: the annotation of a GenBank genome assembly
AUUUCAGCAGGAUUCACUCUGUAAUACAUGCUGUUAACCGAUUUGGUGUUGAAAAAUCAAGAGAGGGCCCCGAUCACACUGUGUUUCUUUGUACUUCAGUAUGAUGCCUUAAUUUAGCAUUACGCACCUUCCAAGAUUGCUGAGGGUUGGGCAGACUUAAAAGGUGCAGUGGCAUGGCUCUUAUCACCUACCAUCACCCAAAGGGAAUGCCCCCCCAAAAGAAACAGCUAAUGACUGCCCAAGAGUAGAGCACUUCUGCAGCUCAUUGCCC